Molecule: microRNA precursor, 77 nt
Filed under: Chlorocebus sabaeus (green monkey)
Lineage: Eukaryota; Metazoa; Chordata; Mammalia; Primates; Cercopithecidae
Description: miRNA (ENSCSAG00000023101.1)
Source: RNAcentral
GGAGUUUUGUGAAAUGUAGAUUCUACUUCAAGAGGUCUGGGGUGAGACCUGAGGUUUUGCAUUUCUAACAAGGACCC